This is a long non-coding RNA of Agrilus planipennis (emerald ash borer), 945 nucleotides long. RefSeq lists it as uncharacterized. The record is from RefSeq and is a predicted model, not a curated record. The transcript has 3 exons. NCBI's taxonomy places the organism in Eukaryota, Metazoa, Arthropoda, Insecta, Coleoptera, Buprestidae.
AGCAGUGGACGUUGAUUUGUCAUUUAAAUGUCUAAAUUUUUGUACUUCAUGAUACAUUCUGAAACUAAAUAAUAAUCAACGACAUGAGGCAGUAUUCAAAACGUUAUGGUUCUCUUAAUUUUGAUCAUAUCUUAGAAGACAAUUUAGCGAUUAAUAAAAAUUUUAGAGGAUUUUAUACAGCCAAGAAAACAGACAAUAAGCUGGGAUGUUUGGAUGUUCCUAAAAAUAUUUUUUUGGAAUCAGAUGAUGAUAGCGUUUCUAAUACCAAACUAGCAAUUUGUCAAAGAAAUUCUGAACCUUUUGAUGACCAAAACAUUUUUGAUGAUUUUUGGGACUACGAGUAUAAAAAUUCACCAUGUAAAAUGAUAAUGAAUGGUGAUAAUUACGAAAUUAAUUCGGAUUUUGAUCAACUUAAAACGUUAUUUAUUAGACAAGAAAGUAUUACAGAAAAAAUAAAAUGUAGAAAACGCUUAUUAAAAAAGUUGUCAAAUGGAGAAUAUGGUAAAGGUUGUAAUGAUAACACAAGCCUAUUUAAAAAUCAACUGAAUCGAUCGUCGUUACCAGUUAUACAAAAUGUUCGUGAACAUCUAGUGCCUAUUUAUCUUGAAAAAUCGUGCAGUUCUACCACUGUUGGUGAUAGCAGGAGUGAAGAUGUUGAUGAAGAAAAAUCAUUUCAGUUUAUUGAAGACUUCCUGUUACAAAAUAAUAAGAAAAUGAUAGAAUUUAUGGUUUCUAGUGGUAGUAAAUGUAAAAGGAGUAGACUUGACGAUUUUCCUAAUUUAAAAAUGAAUUCGUGGAAGAUAGCCGAUCAACAAGUUAACCUUGAUAAAAAGGUAAAAUCUCUUGAAUUCUGUUAUGGUACUUGUCUUCCAUCUUUAUCAGGGCCAGACAAAGGUGGGGGGGAGUUAGAGUGCUACGAAUACUACGCAUCGGACCCCCGCAACA